RNAcentral lists this long non-coding RNA (426 nucleotides) under Bos taurus (domestic cattle). RNAcentral describes it as "long non-coding RNA NONBTAT017875". Lineage: Eukaryota; Metazoa; Chordata; Mammalia; Artiodactyla; Bovidae. The record is from RNAcentral.
GGACCUUCAGGGUUUCACAGUCAGCUCACCACUAUGAAUAGUGAAAAGAAUGCCCCUUGACUAUUAUAAAAAAGAGGCCUGUAGAUACAAGAUUCAAGGUCAGCUGUGUUGUAGAGGGGAGUGGUGGAAAGAAAAGUAAACUGUUUUUGUUUUGUUUUUUUUUGAGCUCUGUUAUAUACUAGAAUUAAUUAUAGAUACAGGAAAUGUACUAUCUAGGUUCUCAAAGUUCAAUUCACAUAUUCUUAUAUUUUCAUUAAAUUAUACAUGCUUGCACAAAAGUCAGAAGGCAUAUCUUAUUGAAAUAAUAAUUCUUCAUCAUUUUGUUGUUAUUAAAAAUAGGAUCUUGUUCCCCCUGUGUAUUCUAAUUUUAUUAAGAUAACACAUAUGAACCAUAUAUUAAGCCAUGUUACUCAACGUCUCUACUGU